This 394-nucleotide ribosomal RNA is filed under the name uncultured Microcystis sp. RNAcentral's name for it is "bacterial SSU rRNA". It matches the Rfam family "Bacterial small subunit ribosomal RNA", at positions 552 to 946 of the family's 1533-position model. The record is from RNAcentral. Lineage: Bacteria; Bacillati; Cyanobacteriota; Cyanophyceae; Chroococcales; Microcystaceae.
UAUUGGGCGUAAAGCGUCCUCAGGUGGUCAGCCAAGUCUGCCGUCAAAUCAGGUUGCUUAACGACCUAAAGGCGGUGGAAACUGGCAGACUAGAGAGCAGUAGGGGUAGCAGGAAUUCCCAGUGUAGCGGUGAAAUGCGUAGAUAUCGGGAAGAACACCAGUGGCGAAGGCGCUCUGCUGGGCCAUAACUGACGCUCAUGGACGAAAGCCAGGGGAGCGAAAGGGAUUAGAUACCCCUAGUCCUGGCCGUAAACGAUGAACACUAGGUGUCGGGGGAAUCGACCCCCUCGGCGUCGUAGCCAACGCGUUAAGUGUUCCGCCUGGGGAGUACGCACGCAAGUGUGAAACUCAAAGGAAUUGACGGGGGCCCGCACAAGCGGUGGAGUAUGUGGUU